Molecule: ribosomal RNA, 253 nt
Filed under: uncultured bacterium
Lineage: Bacteria
Description: partial 16S ribosomal RNA
Rfam family: Bacterial small subunit ribosomal RNA
Source: RNAcentral
UACGUAGGGGGCUAGCGUUGUCCGGAAUCAUUGGGCGUAAAGCGCACGUAGGCGGCGCCGCAAGUGUUGGGUGAAAUCCCACGGCUUACCCGUGGAACUGCCUGGCAGACUGCGGUGCUAGAGGAUGGUAGGGGAGAGCGGAACUCCUGGUGGAGCGGUGAAAUGCGUAGAUAUCAGGAGGAACACCGGUGGCGAAGGCGGCUCUCUGGUCCAUGACUGACGCUGAGGUGCGAAAGCUAGGGGAGCAAACGGG